CCCUUAGAUGUUCUGGGCUGCACGCGUGCUACACUGAUAUUGCCAAUAUGUCAUUCUUAUCCGAAAUGGAUUGGGUAAUCAAGUAAUGAAAUUUCAUGCUUGGAAUCGGUAAUUGCAAUUUUAUCGUGAACGAGGAAUUCCUAGUAAGCACUAGUCAUCAGCUAAUGUUGAUUAUGUCCCUGCCCUUUGUACACACCGCCCGUCGCUACUACUGAUUGGGUGUUCAAGUGAGAUGCUUAGACCCUUGUUGCAUGGUUCAUUAUUGUGCUCCGAAAGGAAAAAGUUUCAAGCUUGAGUGUCUAGAGGAAGCAAAAGUCGUAACA
RNAcentral lists this ribosomal RNA (323 nucleotides) under uncultured eukaryote. RNAcentral describes it as "partial 18S ribosomal RNA". It matches the Rfam family "Eukaryotic small subunit ribosomal RNA", at positions 1470 to 1796 of the family's 1831-position model. The record is from RNAcentral.